UGGGGAAUUUUGGACAAUGGGGGAAACCCUGAUCCAGCCAUCCCGCGUGUGCGAUGAAGGCCUUCGGGUUGUAAAGCACUUUUGGCAGGAAAGAAACGUCAUGGGUUAAUACCCCGUGAAACUGACGGUCCCUGCAGAAUAAGCACCGGCUAACUACGUGCCAGCAGCCGCGGUAAUACGUAGGGUGCAAGCGUUAAUCGGAAUUACUGGGCGUAAAGCGUGCGCAGGCGGUUCGGAAAGAAAGAUGUGAAAUCCCAGAGCUCAACUUUGGAACUGCAUUUUUAACUACCGGGCUAGAGUGUGUCAGAGGGAGGUGGAAUUCCGCGUGUAGCAGUGAAAUGCGUAGAUAUGCGGAGGAACACCGAUGGCGAAGGUAGCCUCCUGGGAUAACACUGACGCUCAUGCACGAAAGCGUGGGGAGCAAACAGG
RNAcentral lists this ribosomal RNA (429 nucleotides) under Acidobacteriota bacterium. RNAcentral describes it as "Acidobacteria bacterium partial 16S ribosomal RNA". It matches the Rfam family "Bacterial small subunit ribosomal RNA", at positions 355 to 776 of the family's 1533-position model. The record is from RNAcentral. Lineage: Bacteria; Pseudomonadati; Acidobacteriota.